AUUUAUUCUAUUCUAUUGUAAAAAAAUCGAUUUCUAUUCUAUAGUCAUUCAGCAGACGCUUUUUCCAAAGCGACUUACAUUUGAGAGUAAGAACAAAACAAGCAAGAAUUCAAACAAGAUGGGACAUCAUAAUUAAGUGGUAGU
Long non-coding RNA from Melanotaenia boesemani (Boeseman's rainbowfish), 144 nucleotides. RefSeq lists it as uncharacterized. The record is from RefSeq and is a predicted model, not a curated record. The transcript has 3 exons. Lineage: Eukaryota; Metazoa; Chordata; Actinopteri; Atheriniformes; Melanotaeniidae.